RNAcentral lists this transfer RNA (71 nucleotides) under Loxodonta africana (African savanna elephant). It matches the Rfam family "tRNA". From Rfam's summary of the family: Transfer RNA (tRNA) molecules are approximately 80 nucleotides in length. Their secondary structure includes four short double-helical elements and three loops (D, anti-codon, and T loops). The record is from Rfam by way of RNAcentral. Lineage: Eukaryota; Metazoa; Chordata; Mammalia; Proboscidea; Elephantidae.
GCAGUGGUGGUUCUAUGGUGGAAUACUCGCCCUACAUACAGGAGACCCAGGUUCGUUUCCUGGCCAGUGCA